UGAGGAAUUAUGCGCAAUGGGCGAAAGCCUGACGGAGCAACGCCGCGUGAAGGAUGAAGUAUUUCGGUAUGUAAACUUCGAAAGAAUAGGAAGAAUAAAUGACGGUACAUUUAUAAGGUCCGGCUAACUACGUGCCAGCAGCCGCGGUAAUACGUAGGGACCAAGCGUUGUUCGGAUUUACUGGGCGUAAAGGGCGCGUAGGCGGCCAACUAAGUCAGACGUGAAAUCCCUCGGCUUAACCGGGGAACUGCGUCUGAUACUGGAUGGCUUGAGGUUGGGAGAGGGAUGCGGAAUUCCAGGUGUAGCGGUGAAAUGCGUAGAUAUCUGGAGGAACACCGGUGGCGAAGGCGACAUCCUGGACCAAUUCUGACGCUGAGGAGCGAAAGCCAGGGGAGCAAACAGGAUUAGAUACCCCGGUAGUCCCUGAGCGGGCUGGCAAGGCGCAU
This 446-nucleotide ribosomal RNA is filed under the name uncultured bacterium. RNAcentral's name for it is "bacterial SSU rRNA". It matches the Rfam family "Bacterial small subunit ribosomal RNA", at positions 355 to 825 of the family's 1533-position model. The record is from RNAcentral.